CGGAAUUAUUGGGCGUAAAGCGCACGUAGGCGGUUCGUUAAGUCAGAUGUGAAAGCCCCCGGCUCAACCGGGGAAGUGCAUCUGAAACUGGCGAGCUAGAGUACGAAAGAGGGUCGCGGAAUUCCCGGUGUAGAGGUGAAAUUCGUAGAUAUCGGGAGGAACACCGGUGGCGAAGGCGGCGACCUGGGUCGAUACUGACGCUGAGGUGCGAAAGCGUGGGGAGCAAACAGG
This 231-nucleotide ribosomal RNA is filed under the name uncultured bacterium. Its description in RNAcentral is "partial 16S ribosomal RNA". It matches the Rfam family "Bacterial small subunit ribosomal RNA", at positions 546 to 776 of the family's 1533-position model. The record is from RNAcentral.